UACGUAGGGUGCGAGCGUUGUCCGGAAUUAUUGGGCGUAAAGAGCUCGUAGGCGGUGUGUCACGUCGGCCGUGAAAACCUGCAGCUUAACUGUGGGCGUGCGGUCGAUACGGGCAUCACUGGAGUUCGGCUGGGGAGACUGGAAUUCCUGGUGUAGCGGUGAAAUGCGCAGAUAUCAGGAGGAACACCGGUGGCGAAGGCGGGUCUCUGGGCCGAUACUGACGCUGAGGAGCGAAAGCGUGGGGAGCGAACAGG
This 254-nucleotide ribosomal RNA is filed under the name uncultured bacterium. RNAcentral's name for it is "partial 16S ribosomal RNA". It matches the Rfam family "Bacterial small subunit ribosomal RNA", at positions 524 to 776 of the family's 1533-position model. The record is from RNAcentral.